Molecule: long non-coding RNA, 343 nt
Organism: Humulus lupulus (European hop)
Lineage: Eukaryota; Viridiplantae; Streptophyta; Magnoliopsida; Rosales; Cannabaceae
Exons: 3
Source: RefSeq, a predicted model, not a curated record
AAAAUUAUACGAAAACUGAAGAAGCUAAAGUUGAGGAGCUUAUAAAGGUAGUUGCUGAUUCUGGUGCCAAAGUAAUUGUUAGUGGAGCAGCAGUUGGGGAGAUGGCACUUCAUUUCUGUGAGCGCUACAAUUAAAGCUUAGCAAGCCAAACCCAGAUGACCUGGGACAUGUUGAUUCAGUUUCAGUAGAAGAAGUUGGUGGUGCUAGGGUCACUGUUGUGAAGAAUGAAGAAGGUGGGAACUCCGUAACCACUGUUUUAUUGCGAGGAAGCACAGAUAGCAUUUUAGAUGACAUUGAAAGAGCAGUUGAUGAUGGAGUAAAUACUUACAAGGUAAUUUGGACU